Molecule: long non-coding RNA, 273 nt
Organism: Gadus morhua (Atlantic cod)
Lineage: Eukaryota; Metazoa; Chordata; Actinopteri; Gadiformes; Gadidae
Exons: 2
Source: RefSeq, a predicted model, not a curated record
AAGCGUACAAAAGUUUGGAGGCCUAUAACCAGAUGGUGUGUGGAUGGGUGAGGGAGAUUCAAUACCAAGUCAUCGACGACAGAUGUGUUGCGAAGGCCAAAGUUCUCCAUUCUCAAUCAAUCCGAGAAACACCCCUGGAACCCUGGAUAAUCGCUGAGAAGUCUGGUCGGAUACUUGGAGCCCACUGCACGUGUAUGGCUGGCCUCGGAGAGACGUGCACACAUGUUGCUGCAUUAUUGUUUCUCAUAGAAGAAACAGUGAAGUUGAGGGACU